This 279-nucleotide unclassified non-coding RNA is filed under the name plant metagenome. Its description in RNAcentral is "partial contains small subunit ribosomal RNA, internal transcribed spacer 1, and 5.8S ribosomal RNA". The record is from RNAcentral.
UUUCCGUAGGUGAACCUGCGGAAGGAUCAUUAUUGUAUAACCGAGGUUCAAGUACUGUCGCUGACCCGAUAGCACUUGCACGCCCGAGUUCCCUCACACACAUCCAUCUCACCCCUAUAUUAACCACCGCGUCGGUCCCGCUUUGGCUUGUUCGCAGGGGGUCUUACGGUUUCACACAAACGUAGGAUGCAGUGGGGAAUGUAUUUUUUGUUUUUUCUAUCACUCAAUCGAUACAACUUACAACAACUGAUCUUUUGGCUCUUUCAUCUAUGAAGAACC